RNAcentral lists this small nucleolar RNA (110 nucleotides) under Gossypium hirsutum (cotton). RNAcentral's name for it is "Plant small nucleolar RNA R71". It matches the Rfam family "Plant small nucleolar RNA R71". Rfam says of the family: R71 is a member of the C/D box family of snoRNAs containing the C (UGAUGA) and D (CUGA) box motifs. Multiple nearly identical copies of this snoRNA have been identified in Arabidopsis, and it is thought to function as a 2'-O-ribose methylation guide for 18S ribosomal RNA. Lineage: Eukaryota; Viridiplantae; Streptophyta; Magnoliopsida; Malvales; Malvaceae. The record is from Rfam by way of RNAcentral.
AGGUAACCGUGGUGAGGGCACCGUCUCGAUAAGUCCGUGUACCUCUCCUAUGCAUCAUAUAAAUUCUCUAAAUCAAUCUGUACAAAAGAGGAGAUAUCAUUCCUCAACUU